Molecule: unclassified non-coding RNA, 252 nt
Filed under: Tilletiaria anomala
Lineage: Eukaryota; Fungi; Basidiomycota; Exobasidiomycetes; Georgefischeriales; Tilletiariaceae
Description: partial internal transcribed spacer 2
Source: RNAcentral
AUCCCUCAACACGAACCGUUUUUUAAUGAAAGCGAGUUUGAUCGUUGGAUGUGAGCGCAAUGCCUUUCGCAAGAAUGGCUCGCUUGAAAUGGAUUUGUGGGCUGCUCAUGUGCACAACAAUGUGCUCGGAUAGCAUCUUGGCCUUUUCAUCGUUAUGGUUUUCCUUCGAUGAAGUCUGGGCCUUGAGGCAACAUGUUCGAGCGGGCAUUGGCACCGAGUUGGCUUGCUUUCUAACCCAAUCUAAUUCAUCAC